This is a long non-coding RNA of Ostrea edulis (European flat oyster), 407 nucleotides long. RefSeq lists it as uncharacterized. NCBI's taxonomy places the organism in Eukaryota, Metazoa, Mollusca, Bivalvia, Ostreida, Ostreidae. The record is from RefSeq and is a predicted model, not a curated record. The transcript has 2 exons.
ACAAGUUUGGAUCUACGUAAACAAUGCCGAUGGCAAUGUACGUUAGGCCCAAACGGGAGUCAGAUAAGUUAUCAAAGCAGGUGUUAGCAAUUAUCUGUGCUUUGUUUUAACAUAUCGGAGUUUGAAGUCAAUAUGUGCAAUGGCUUCCACCAGGAAGAUAUCUUUAUCAGGACCAUGUAACUAUCAAGAAAUCUGAGAGUGUUUGAAGAAACCGUGCAACCGCAGAUUCCUCCAACAAGCGGAGAGGGGCCACUUAUUAAGGAGGGACUGUGUUAUGUCAAAGAUAUAGAUACGGAGGACGGGAACAAGAACUAAAAAGAAAAGGAGAAAAGAGGCUGAGAGAGACGUUGACAGAUUGAAAUGCUUGAAAUUUGAAAUGGAUUAAUUAAAAAAAGUAUAACUUUAAA